Molecule: long non-coding RNA, 587 nt
Filed under: Homo sapiens (human)
Lineage: Eukaryota; Metazoa; Chordata; Mammalia; Primates; Hominidae
Description: HSALNT0171973
Source: RNAcentral
CCCAACCUUCCUCUGCAGCGCCCCUACCGACCCGCGCUCCGCAGCUCCUGAGGGCUUUCGAGCCCAGAUGGUCAUCUGAGACGAGAGGUGGCGGCGAAGGAGAGUCUCGCCUGUCACGCUCCCGGAGCAGGGGCUUCAUGAGGUGGCCAUGGAAACAGCCUGGCAGACUCCCAUCUCUCCUGGUGCCAUCUCCGGAGCGGAAAGUGGAGCGCCCCGCUGGCGACCAAGGCCGCACUGAGAGCCCUGGUUUGGUCAACAGUUGGGCUCCAAGGAGCCCUGGUAUUCCUUGAACAUGCAUACCUUUCCCAGCGUGAGGGACAUGGACCGUGCCGUGCGAGGGACCCCAUCUUCUGCAGCAGGAGGGAGCAGAGAAGAGAACACAGCCACCCUCAUCAGCCAGAGUUCAAACCCUGACAGUGCCCAUGGAGAGAUCUGGUCCAAGGCACCAACCUCUUCCUGCUGGACUGAGAAAGAGCCUCCUACUGUGUCUCUCUUUACCUCAGCUUUUGCACACCUCCAAUAUAUUGUCCACUGAAGUCAGAAUAAUCUAAAAAUAAAGGCUGAUUACCUCAUGUGGUAUAAACUUA